GCUGAACGCUGGCGGCGUGCCUAAUACAUGCAAGUCGAGCGAACAGACGAGGAGCUUGCUCCUCUGACGUUAGCGGCGGACGGGUGAGUAACACGUGGAUAACCUACCUAUAAGACUGGGAUAACUUCGGGAAACCGGAGCUAAUACCGGAUAAUAUAUUGAACCGCAUGGUUCAAUAGUGAAAGACGGUUUUGCUGUCACUUAUAGAUGGAUCCGCGCCGCAUUAGCUAGUUGGUAAGGUAACGGCUUACCAAGGCAACGAUGCGUAGCCGACCUGAGAGGGUGAUCGGCCACACUGGAACUGAGACACGGUCCAGACUCCUACGGGAGGCAGCAGUAGGGAAUCUUCCGCAAAGGGCGAAAGCCUGACGGAGCAACGCCGCGUGAGUGAUGAAGGUCUUCGGAUCGUAAAACUCUGUUAUUAGGGAAGAACAAAUGUGUAAGUAACUAUGCACGUCUUGACGGUACCUAAUCAGAAAGCCACGGCUAACUACGUG
RNAcentral lists this ribosomal RNA (497 nucleotides) under uncultured bacterium. RNAcentral's name for it is "partial 16S ribosomal RNA". It matches the Rfam family "Bacterial small subunit ribosomal RNA", at positions 28 to 507 of the family's 1533-position model. The record is from RNAcentral.